AUUGAACGCUGGCGGCAGGCCUAACACAUGCAAGUCGAACGGUAACAGGAAACAGCUUGCUGUUUCGCUGACGAGUGGCGGACGGGUGAGUAAUGUCUGGGAAACUGCCUGAUGGAGGGGGAUAACUACUGGAAACGGUAGCUACUACCGCAUAACGUCGCAAGACCAAAGAGGGGGACAUUCGGGCCUCUUGCCAUAGGAUGGGCCCAGAUGGGAUUAGCUAGUGGGUGGGGUAACGGCUCACCUAGGCGACGAUCCCUAGCUGGUCUGAGAGGAUGACCAGCCACACUGGAACUGAGACACGGUCCAGACUCCUACGGGAGGCAGCAGUGGGGAAUAUUGCACAAUGGGCGCAAGCCUGAUGCAGCCAUGCCGCGUGUAUGAAGAAGGCCUUCGGGUUGUAAAGUACUUUCAGCGGGGAGGAAGGGAGUAAAGUUAAUACCUUUACUCAUUGACGUUACCCGCAGAAGAAGCACCGGCUAACUCCGUG
Molecule: ribosomal RNA, 490 nt
Filed under: uncultured bacterium
Lineage: Bacteria
Description: partial 16S ribosomal RNA
Rfam family: Bacterial small subunit ribosomal RNA
Source: RNAcentral